ACGGGUGAGUAACACGUGGGUAACCUGCCCAGAAGCAGGGGAUAACACCUGGAAACAGAUGCUAAUACCGUAUAACAGAGAAAACCGCCUGGUUUUCUUUUAAAAGAUGGCUCUGCUAUCACUUCUGGAUGGACCCGCGGCGCAUUAGCUAGUUGGUGAGGUAACGGCUCACCAAGGCGAUGAUGCGUAGCCGACCUGAGAGGGUAAUCGGCCACAUUGGGACUGAGACACGGCCCAGACUCCUACGGGAGGCAGCAGUAGGGAAUCUUCCACAAUGGACGCAAGUCUGAUGGAGCAACGCCGCGUGAGUGAAGAAGGGUUUCGGCUCGUAAAGCUCUGUUGUUAAAGAAGAACGUGGGUGAGAGUAACUGUUCACCCAGUGACGGUAUUUAACCAGAAAGCCACGGCUAACUACGUGCCAGCAGCCGCGGUAAUACGUAGGUGGCAAGCGUUAUCCGGAUUUAUUGGGCGUAAAGCGAGCGCAGGCGGUCUUUUAAGUCUAAUGUGAAAGCCUUCGGCUCAACCGAAGAAGUGCAUUGGAAACUGGGAGACUUGA
RNAcentral lists this ribosomal RNA (556 nucleotides) under Pediococcus sp. Lact10. Its description in RNAcentral is "bacterial SSU rRNA". It matches the Rfam family "Bacterial small subunit ribosomal RNA", at positions 102 to 645 of the family's 1533-position model. The record is from RNAcentral. Lineage: Bacteria; Bacillati; Bacillota; Bacilli; Lactobacillales; Lactobacillaceae.